UACGGAGGGUGCAAGCGUUAUCCGGAUUCACUGGGUUUAAAGGGUGCGUAGGUGGGUUGGUAAGUCAGUGGUGAAAUCUCCGAGCUUAACUUGGAAACUGCCAUUGAUACUAUCAGUCUUGAAUAUUGUGGAGGUCAGCGGAAUAUGUCAUGUAGCGGUGAAAUGCUUAGAUAUGACAUAGAACACCAAUUGCGAAGGCAGCUGGCUACGCAUAUAUUGACACUGACGCUCAUGCACGAAAGCGUGGGGAGCAAACAGG
RNAcentral lists this ribosomal RNA (259 nucleotides) under uncultured bacterium. RNAcentral describes it as "partial 16S ribosomal RNA". It matches the Rfam family "Bacterial small subunit ribosomal RNA", at positions 524 to 776 of the family's 1533-position model. The record is from RNAcentral.